Molecule: RNA transcript, 3571 nt
Organism: Symphalangus syndactylus (siamang)
Lineage: Eukaryota; Metazoa; Chordata; Mammalia; Primates; Hylobatidae
Source: RefSeq, a predicted model, not a curated record
UUUUUUUUUUUGAGACAGAGUUUCGCUGUGUCACCCAGGCUGGAGUGCAGUGGCCCGAUCUCGGCUCACUAUAAGCUCCGCCUCCUGGGUUCAAGCAAUUUCUCCUGAGUAGCUCAGGAGAGCCUCAGUACUCAGCCUCCUGAGUAGCUGGGAUUACAGGCACCCGCCACCACUCCCAGCUAAUUUUUGUAUUUUUAGUAGGGAUGGGGUUUCACCAUGUUGGUCAGGCUGGUCUCGAACUCCUGACCUCGUGAUCCGCCCUCCUCAGCCUUCCAAAGUGCUGGGAUUACAGGCAUGAUGGAGAUGAUACUCCCUAAAUCACAAGGGUGUGGUGUGAAGAUGAAAUGGCUGCACAUGACGGAGGAGUUGGAGAACAGGAAGCAAGCGGAUCACUUGGAUGAGCUGUGAUGGGCCCAGGAAGAACUAAGCCAAUCACUCCAGGGGGCGUUUUCCCAGGACCCAGGCAGAGAGCUGAUUCCAGCAUCCACAUUGUAUCCCCCUCCUGCUGUGGCCGGAGUCUCCAAAAGCUGGGCACCCGCCGCAGCGCUUCCAAGCCCAGGCCCAUUUGAACACAGGAGGACUUCUGAGGUUCAUUUAACCCCAAAAUCAGUGAUUCUACAUCUCAAGCUCAUAUUUUGAAGUGUUUACAGUGACAGACACAGGCCGAGGCACAGAGUGGUGCUGAGCAAAUGUGCGGUGAAUGGAUGGUGAACAGGAAGGGACACUGAAGAAGGAGGUGGUACUGAGAGCAGCCAUCGUGGAGCCUGGAAACCGAGACACAUGUGAAGCCCUUUGCACAGUAUUUUUCCCUUAAAAUGUGGGUGGGGAACAAGGGACUCUCCUUUCUCUUUUUCUCUGGGAUGGUGAGCAGUGAGCAGGGCACGCCACGAGGAGCAAACUGCAGCCCAAGCACACGAGGGCAGCACGCGGAGCACAGCUGGGGAGAAGCAGCUGACAGUGGCCCGGCCCCGCGUACCUGGGUGUGGACGCUCCGCCGCCCCGCAGAGGAAAGCGCCUGGAGUCUGGGGUCUGCUGCCCGGAGCUCUGGGUGUCCAGAAAAGAGUACCACACUGGCUGUCAGCUGUGUGACCUUGAGGAAGUCACUCUCUCUCUCAACUUUCUCAUCUGCCAGCCGCCAGGGCCUUGUUCGCACCUACUACCAGCAAAGAAUACCCCACCUGCCCCAGUGCCCUGGCCUGAAGACGUCCUGUUAGUCUUUCAGCUGUCAAUGAAGAUGGCCCCCUUUUCAAGAACCCUUCCUGGAAUCCUGAAUUUGGGGGUCCUGAUCUUUCCAUUCCUGUAUCCACAGUCACUGCCUUCACCUGAAUGCGAUUGCAAUUCUCUAGCCCUUCAAUUCAACAAAUAUUCUGGAAUGAUUAGCAUGAGCUGUGACAAUGACAAAUUCCGAUACGGGAAGACAUGAAUCAAAUGAUCAUGUUCAUCCAUGCAUGAUUAGAAACAGGGAAGGGUAAAGAAGGAAGAGAAAACGGCUUCCUGAGAGCUUGUCUGGGGUCUGGAAGGAUGAACACGGAGCUGGGGGCAUGGAAGGGAGCGGUUCCCAGGAGAGGACAAUCAUGCUGGCUGUUAGUGGAGAAUGGCCUGGAACACUGGGUCUCCGCCCCAGCUGCCUGGGAGAAACAGUGUUGAAGGAGCCAUACCCCCUGGCCUCCACUCCAGACUCCAGGCAUCCCCAGUCAGCUGGCUGGGAGGGAGGCAGAAGAGAAACACAGGUGCACUCGGGGCCCCUGCAGGAGUCCAGCCGGGAGAUGGGGGCAACUUGGACAGGGAUGGUGGGAGAGGGAUGGGCUCGGGGGGCGUUUGGGAGAUGAAAAGGGCAAGGCUUGGCCAUCAAUUCCCACGGGAUGAAAGAGAAGGAAUUGUCAGGAUUGAGUCCCAAGUUUCUAGCUCGUGCAAAUAAACAGAAACGGGGCAUCCACUGAGCUCAAGAGCACGGGGAAGGGGUGUUGGAGACUCUCCCAGGGACCCUGCAGACUUCUGUAACCCCUUUGAGUUCUCGCAGGCAGAGGCCACGGUGGGUGGGGAGCAGGCCUUGGCAGGGUACCAGCCGCCCACCAGGCACCCUCCAUCCUAGUAGCCCUUGGGCAGACACACCAUGGCCGGAGGAAGGGUACGGAGAGGUAGAGGAAGCCAACCAGUGUUCCCUGGCAGCCACCAUGUGGUCAAAGGACCAGGCGGCUUGUUUGGAAGGAUCUCUGAGGCACAAAGUGCCAGGACCCAAUGCUCCCUGAGCCCUCCCAGCAGGAAAAUGAAAACUUAGCAAUGGGCUCCCAGAGAGGCGGGGCUGGAGGUGCCUUCCCUUUAUGAGAGGCCCGCAGAGCAAUUCCUGCCGCAGGGGUUUCUGCCCACGGCUGAUGUCUUCCAGCCACCUGAUGCAGGGCUUGGGGCCUGUGGGUUGGGGGAGUGGGAUCUUAGGCCUGUUUUGGGGGUUAAUAAAUUUUGUGACCUUGGAUGAGUCACUUAUCUCACAGAUCCUGGGAAGGGCAGGAGGAGGAGUGAGACCUGGCCUGCCCUCUCCCUAAAGGCUCACCAGCUCUCUGGAGACAGACACGCCCUGGGUAAAGAACAGAUCCCACUCAGCCAGGCAGAGUUUCCUGGAGGAGGAGGAGGAGGGAGAGGAAGAGGGCAGGAAAAGGAGGGGAGGGUGCAGAGGGGGAGAAAGAAAGGAGGGAGAAGGAGGUGAAGAGAAAAGGGAGGAGGAGGAAGGAAAAGGAGAAAACCUGUUUUCUGUCUUUUAACUGUCCUUCCCCUCAACAGGGGCCCUGUGCUUCUCCUCAGUCAGAACUCCCCUCUCAGGUCCCCCCACUUCAGGUCCCUCCCCGACUCAUGUCCCUCUCCCCUUGUGUCCCUCCUCCCCUUGUGUCCCUCCCAGGCUUGUGUCUUCCUCCCUCUCAGGUCCCUCCCAACCUCCUAUCCCUCCUCACCUUGUGUUCCUCCACCACUGUGUCCCUCGCCCCCUCAGGUCCCUCCCCCCCUCCUGUCCCUCCCCUGCUCUUGUCCCUCCCCUGCUCUUGUCCCUCCCCCAUCAGGUCCCUCCCCCAUCAGGUCCCUCCCCCCCUCAGGUCCCUCCCCCAUCACGUCCCUCCCCCGUCAGGUCCCUCCCCACCUCCUGUCCCUCCCCUGCUCUUGUCCCUCCCUUCCUCAGGUCCUUCCUCCCCUCACAUUCCUCUGUCUUCAUUUACUGGCAGGAGAAAUUUCAAAGUGUGUUUGUACCACAAUUACUUUAAAACUCUAAAGUUGACUUUUAAAGGUUUGCAUAUGUUUUAAUUUUACUUUUACAUGAUAACCUGCAUUAACUGCACAGAUGCAUGCAUUUUUGUGCUUAUUUGUAAGCGCUUUCUUUAAAACUGCUUUUUUCUUACAUCCUUUCAGUCCCUUUCCCUAUGCCUGGAGCCUGGGUACCAGCUAUUGAAAACUACUUUUCUCCUUGUUCAUUCAAACGUAUUCACACAUAAAGGUUGUCAUUCCUUUUUGUCACUAUUUUACAAAAAUUGGAUCAUACCAUAUAUAAUUGUCUGCUGUUUGUUUUGCUCACCUAACAAUAAAUACACUG